Camelus dromedarius (Arabian camel) is the source of this 1412-nucleotide long non-coding RNA. RefSeq lists it as uncharacterized. Lineage: Eukaryota; Metazoa; Chordata; Mammalia; Artiodactyla; Camelidae. The record is from RefSeq and is a predicted model, not a curated record. The transcript is spliced from 4 exons.
UAAAGUUUUAUUGGAACGCAGCCACACGUUGAUUGCUGUAUUGUCCACGGCUGCUUUUGUGCUGUAGCAGCAGAGUGGUAGUCGCAGCAGAGACCUCAUGUCCCACAGAGGGGAAAAUAUUUACCAUCUGGCCCUUUACAGAAAAACUUUGCCUCCCCCUGCUCUAAGUGUUCCUCUGAGCAACUGUUGGCUGAUUUAGGGAAGCUCUUCUCUUGAAACCCAGCAGUAAGCAACGUUAGUUUACUUUAGCAGAUAUGAAACUUGAAUCCUAACACUUUCUUCCGCCCUUUCUCAACCCUUCUCCCCGAACAUGGAAAGUGGCCCAAUAAGUGAAAUGAAACUUGGCCCAAUCAGCGAUAUUUAGAAAGUGGAAGGUGAAAGUGUUGACAUCUGCUUGUAUUCCGGCAGCACGUGAUGCAGCAAGAGCCUUCUGGUCAGCCGGGCAUCUUGCGUUUUGUGAAAGAUUGUCUCGUGUUAGCCGGCCCUAGUGGGAUUUAUGCCUGUGGAAAAAUGCGAUGUGAUGAACCAUCUGCCUUUCUUCCUAACAGUGGCUUCCUAGGUGGAUUCUUCCUUCCUUCAGUCUUGAUAGCUUCACGCCUGCCCUGCUGAUGUGCGGUGAAAGCCCCUUGGAGCAGACUUCCCUCCCACCCCUGCCUCUCAUGUCAGUCACAGCAGCACCUGCCCUGGAUCUGGACCUGGACCUGCCCACGUGCUUGCUGAUGGCUCUUUAAGGACAGGAGGGAUCCACGUCUUACUUGCCUCGUAAAAAUCAUCCCGAAUUUGAGCUGCAACUAUAAAAAACCCCCAGCAAACAAGAAGCCGUCUUUCUGACCUAAGUUAUGGGAAAGAGGACUUCUAUUUUCUAUUUAAGGAAAUAUUAUCGUGGAGCCAGUGGCUAGUGACCCAGACAGUUCACCUGCCACAUUCAAGCCUCUAGUCCCCAGCUGACCUGGACAAGAGAAUGUGGUGAGUUAGUUCAAUUAGUGUGUCACCCAGGAAGAGCUGACAAUGAGUGAAGGCGGGUGACCCACACGACAACCAGAUUCGAGCCUCAAGGCCUAUCACCACUACCAGCCUUGACCGAGGGAACUGACCACAGGUUCUGCAUGGUUAGGGUAAAAGCUGGAAGAACAUAGGAGAGACUAACCAGUUUCCUCUGAGAAUAUGAACUCAGUCUUUUUUAAAAGCUUUCUGAGAGCUACGAUUGAAAUUUCAGACGGCCUGCAGUGGAAGUCACAUUUGACCACCUCCAGACUCGAUGCUGUUAUUUCUGUGAAAGUCUAUUUUAACCAAAGGAAAUCCUGUUUCCCCAGCAGCACUGGCAACAGCCCUGCGGUGCACGGUCGUCUCAGGAGUGCAGUGAGGAUACAGGCUCUCUUUAAUCUCUGAAUAAAAAUAUUUGAUGUUUACAA